Molecule: transfer RNA, 62 nt
Filed under: uncultured Thalassolituus sp.
Lineage: Bacteria; Pseudomonadati; Pseudomonadota; Gammaproteobacteria; Oceanospirillales; Oceanospirillaceae
Rfam family: tRNA
About the family: Transfer RNA (tRNA) molecules are approximately 80 nucleotides in length. Their secondary structure includes four short double-helical elements and three loops (D, anti-codon, and T loops). Further hydrogen bonds mediate the characteristic L-shaped molecular structure. tRNAs have two regions of fundamental functional importance: the anti-codon, which is responsible for specific mRNA codon recognition, and the 3' end, to which the tRNAs corresponding amino acid is attached (by aminoacyl-tRNA synthetases). tRNAs cope with the degeneracy of the genetic code in two manners: having more than one tRNA (with a specific anti-codon) for a particular amino acid; and 'wobble' base-pairing, i.e. permitting non-standard base-pairing at the 3rd anti-codon position.
Source: RNAcentral
GAUAGCUCAGUCGGUAGAGCAGCGGACUGUUAAUCCGUUGGUCGCUGGUUCAAGUCCAGCUC